This is a small nuclear RNA of Bombyx mandarina (wild silkworm), 157 nucleotides long. NCBI's taxonomy places the organism in Eukaryota, Metazoa, Arthropoda, Insecta, Lepidoptera, Bombycidae. The record is from RefSeq and is a predicted model, not a curated record.
AUACCUACCUGGCGUAGGGGAUACCGGGAUCAUGCAGGCGGUUCCCCCAGGGCGAGGCUGCUCCAUUGCACUGCGGAGUGCGGAUUGGUUGACCCUUGCGAUUAUUUUUAUUUUUAUCAGUAAAAAAAUAUAUACCCGAAUAAUUAUUUUCUUUUUA